This 239-nucleotide ribosomal RNA is filed under the name uncultured bacterium. Its description in RNAcentral is "partial 16S ribosomal RNA". It matches the Rfam family "Bacterial small subunit ribosomal RNA", at positions 67 to 334 of the family's 1533-position model. The record is from RNAcentral.
CGCCCUCUUCGGAGGGAGUGGCAGACGGGUGAGUAACGCGUGGGAAUCUACCUAGCUCUACGGAAUAACGCAGGGAAACUUGUGCUAAUACCGUAUACGCCCUUCGGGGGAAAGAUUUAUCGGAGUUGGAUGAGCCCGCGUUAGAUUAGCUAGUUGGUGGGGUAAUGGCCCACCAAGGCGACGAUCUAUAGCUGGUCUGAGAGGAUGGUCAGCCACACUGGGACUGAGACACGGCCCAG